GGGGCGAUAUUCUAACGGUAAGAUAGCGCCACCUUGGGCCAAACCCCCCCAAGUCCUAGUUCGGCAACGGCGCUGAUGCCGGUUCAAAUCCGGCUCGCCCCA
Molecule: transfer RNA, 102 nt
Filed under: Burkholderiales bacterium
Lineage: Bacteria; Pseudomonadati; Pseudomonadota; Betaproteobacteria; Burkholderiales
Description: tRNA-OTHER
Rfam family: tRNA
About the family: Transfer RNA (tRNA) molecules are approximately 80 nucleotides in length. Their secondary structure includes four short double-helical elements and three loops (D, anti-codon, and T loops). Further hydrogen bonds mediate the characteristic L-shaped molecular structure. tRNAs have two regions of fundamental functional importance: the anti-codon, which is responsible for specific mRNA codon recognition, and the 3' end, to which the tRNAs corresponding amino acid is attached (by aminoacyl-tRNA synthetases). tRNAs cope with the degeneracy of the genetic code in two manners: having more than one tRNA (with a specific anti-codon) for a particular amino acid; and 'wobble' base-pairing, i.e. permitting non-standard base-pairing at the 3rd anti-codon position.
Source: RNAcentral